CCAAACUGUUGCCUCGGCGGGAUCUCUGCCCCGGGUGCGUCGCAGCCCCGGACCAAGGCGCCCGCCGGAGGACCAACCAAAACUCUUAUUGUAUACCCCCUCGCGGGUUUUUUUAUAAUCUGAGCCUUCUCGGCGCCUCUCGUAGGCGUUUCGAAAAUGAAUCAAAACUUUCAACAACGGAUCUCUUGGUUCUGGCAUCGAUGAAGAACGCAGCGAAAUGCGAUAAGUAAUGUGAAUUGCAGAAUUCAGUGAAUCAUCGAAUCUUUGAACGCACAUUGCGCCCGCCAGUAUUCUGGCGGGCAUGCCUGUCCGAGCGUCAUUUCAACCCUCGAACCCCUCCGGGGGGUCGGCGUUGGGGAUCGGCCCUCCCUUAGCGGGGUGGCCGUCUCCGAAAUACAGUGGCGGUCUCGCCGCAGCCUCUCCUGCGCAGUAGUUUGCACACUCGCAUCGGGAGCGCGGCGCGUCCACAGCCGUUAAACACCCCCCAAAAACUUUUCCUUGAAAAAAUUGGUUUGGAACCCCUUCCCGGG
RNAcentral lists this ribosomal RNA (530 nucleotides) under Trichoderma harzianum. RNAcentral describes it as "eukaryotic LSU rRNA". The stretch from base 166 to 319 matches the Rfam family "5.8S ribosomal RNA". The record is from RNAcentral. Lineage: Eukaryota; Fungi; Ascomycota; Sordariomycetes; Hypocreales; Hypocreaceae.